CCUACGGGAGGCAGCAGUGGGGAAUAUUGCACAAUGGGGGAAACCCUGAUGCAGCGACGCCGCGUGAGUGAAGAAGUACUUCGUUAUGUAAAGCUCUAUCAGCAGGGAAGAAAAUGACGGUACCUGAGUAAGAAGCCCCGGCUAACUACGUGCCAGCAGCCGCGGUAAUACGUAGGGGGCAAGCGUUAUCCGGAUUUCCUGGGUGGAAAGGGAGCGUAGACGGCAGUGCAAGUCUGGAGUUAAAGGCGGGGGCUCAACCCCCGGACUGCUCUGGAAACUGUACGGCUGGAGUGCAGGAGAGGUAAGUGGAAUUCCUAGUGUAGCGGUGAAAUGCGUAGAUAUUAGGAGGAACACCAGUGGCGAAGGCGGCUUACUGGACUGUAACUGACGUUGAGGCUCGAAAGCGUGGGGAGCAAACAGGAUUAGAUACCCGUGUAGUC
This 440-nucleotide ribosomal RNA is filed under the name uncultured bacterium. Its description in RNAcentral is "partial 16S ribosomal RNA". It matches the Rfam family "Bacterial small subunit ribosomal RNA", at positions 338 to 795 of the family's 1533-position model. The record is from RNAcentral.